RNAcentral lists this ribosomal RNA (364 nucleotides) under Bacillus sp. 7884-1. RNAcentral's name for it is "Bacterial large subunit ribosomal RNA". It matches the Rfam family "Bacterial large subunit ribosomal RNA", at positions 2474 to 2835 of the family's 2925-position model. The record is from Rfam by way of RNAcentral. Lineage: Bacteria; Bacillati; Bacillota; Bacilli; Caryophanales; Bacillaceae.
AUAACAGGCUUAUCUCCCCCAAGAGUCCACAUCGACGGGGAGGUUUGGCACCUCGAUGUCGGCUCAUCGCAUCCUGGGGCUGUAGUCGGUCCCAAGGGUUGGGCUGUUCGCCCAUUAAAGCGGUACGCGAGCUGGGUUCAGAACGUCGUGAGACAGUUCGGUCCCUAUCCGUCGUGGGCGCAGGAAAUUUGAGAGGAGCUGUCCUUAGUACGAGAGGACCGGGAUGGACGCACCGCUGGUGUACCAGUUGUCUUGCCAAAGGCAUCGCUGGGUAGCUAUGUGCGGACGGGAUAAGUGCUGAAAGCAUCUAAGCAUGAAGCCCCCCUCAAGAUGAGAUUUCCCAUAGCGUCAAGCUAGUAAGAAC